GAUUGCUACUGUAAAAAUGCCCUGCACGGAGGCUGUAGCCAAUUCCACUCAAGUGAAAGGAUGUUUGUUUAUUCCUGGCCUCACUGAAAAUUACCAAGCUCUUUAUCUCGUUUUUUGUCUAGCAGAAGCUAAGAAAAGAGCUUAUUUUGUGACUGCAUCCGGACCUUGAGUUCUUUGGCUCUUGUGUGAGUGGAUGGUGACACCAGGCCAGCUGGGGAUUCUUCCCAGGCUGGGCUCACAGGCUGGGGCUGGGCACACGGAGCAGCUGCGGGAAAAGGAUCUGGACACCAGCCCCCCAGCGUGUCACCGGCAGGAAGGUGAGGUGGGAACAGAGUGACGUCCAUGCAUGUUCAGGACUAAGCCAGUGGAUCACAAACAUCCUGGAGAGCAGUGACUCUGUGAUUCCAUCACAAGAAUAUGAAGGACUGAGAAGAUCUCCAGCUCUGCCCAUUGCACCUUCCCAUUGAGAAGCAGCAUGGCACCCUGGUGGCAGGGGCUGAUACUCAGCCGGGCCAGGGUGCUCUCCUGUUAACCAUAACCAAGCUCACAGGACAUGGGAUGAGCCCACUGUGUGACACAGGGAGCGGGACACAGUCUGUUAAGUCUUGCACAGCCAUGCUCUGCCACGCAGGCAGGCCUUUCCUUGGCCUCCCUCUCCCUGUUCGUGCUCAUGUGAACAUCCACCUACGUGGAUAGACUGGGCUUUGGUUCAUUAUUGCUCUGUGAAUUCCUCGAACUUCCGCAUCUGCCCAACCUCCCCCACCCCAUUGUUUUCAUUGUGUUUCACCAAAUGGAAAUUCUAGAGUAAGCAUGUGAGUCCUCUCCCAAACUUGUUCACUGUUGAGAGUGCUAAAAUGCUAACCCCAGAUGCUAACUGAGGGGUAGGGUUACCUUAUCUUUAGAGCACUGCGAAUUGUAUGUUAAGUGGAACUUAAUGAAAAAAUAGUUAAUUGACCAACAUGAAUAUCCCCUGAACAGAAUCUCCCCUGAACAGAAUCCUACAAUGAAACUAAGGGAGAUAAAUAAAGCUGUUUACCUGAAAGCUCUCUCUAAUCAAGAUCCUUUGAAAUUUAUAAAACAUGGUCAAUAUUUGCACUGGACUUUGUAAAAAUAAAGCUUGAUAAGAGAAGAGUUUGAAGUGAAAUGCUGCCACUUUCUAUGCAAUAUUUGAUUUAAAUUUAAUUCCUAGAAACCUCAGAUGAAUGUGGUUCAUGUAUCAAAGCACUCAGCAUUAUUUAUCGCGGCCUUAAAUACACAGUGAGCUUACAUGUGAAUGAAUACAUAUAUUAUGUAUCUCUCUCUAUAUAUAUACUAUAUAGAUAAUAUAGUAUAUAUAUAUAUAUAGUGUAUAUAUACACUAUAUAUAUCGUGUAUACAUAUACUAUCUAUAUAGUAUAUAUGUAUAUGGUAUAUAUAUCUAUCUAUAGAUAGAUAGAUAGAUAUACUUAAAAAAACCCCAUUCCCUUAAGAGCAGUUAAGGGACACCAUAUAUCAAAUUUCUUGGCACGUUGUGAAUAUUAAUAUCCCCAAAGUGUCAAUGUCAAAUGAUUUGACUUGAAAUCACUAAGCUUGGUAAUCUCACUAUUUUUAAACAAGGCCUAACAUCUUUUAAUCUUGAAUACCAGCAAGUUCUCAGACUUCAGUUGUUUAUUUUCUCUUUUCUUUCCUUUAAAAAAUUCUGACAAGCUCUUUUCCUUGACACAAAGAAAGCGUAUAAAUUUUAUUUUGGUUUGAACAACAGAAAUUUGCCUCUCAGAAUUCUGGAGAUUGGAAAGUCUAAGGACUAAGCUGCUGGCCAAUUUAGUUCUUAGUGAGGACUCUCUUCCUGGCUUGUAGAUGGCUGCCUUCUCACUGCAUCCUCAGAGAGAGAGAGAGAGAGGGCUCUUGUGUCUCUUCCUUUCUCAUAAAGCGUCAGCUCUCUUGUAUUAGGGUCCCACCCAUAAUUACCCCCUUAUAUGCCCCAUCUACAAAUAGAGUCACAUUGUGGGUUAGAGCUUGGCAGUGAAUAAUUAUGGAGGUUAUUGUUGGCUUUAGAAUUUCGUGGUAGAAACAAUAAAUUGCCUUUGUGUUUACGUUUUAUUUUAUUUUUUUAACAUUAACAUGUAUUUGCAACAAUGAAAACAGCAGGUGAAUACAUUCUGGGUAGGGGAAAAAGUUAGAGGAGUGCUAUCCAGAAGUUAUAUUUCCUAGGAAUAUGGGGAAUAAAACAUUCAAUAUUGGUGGUUCUAAUAGAUGAAUUAAAUUUAAUUUGAUGUGGAGUGGCCAUGUCCCCUGUCUCGGGAUGCCGUGUGAAGCCUGGCUCUUGUGACAGCUGUUUAGAUUUGCUGAAAGAUGUUUUAAGUGUCCUAGGAAAGAGGUUUCCAUUCAUUCUAGAACUGAUAGUUUUCUCUUAAAGUGUUAAUUUACAUUUUAAUGUUGAUGUGGUAUCCAUCUCAGGUUAAUGUUUGGCACUAGGUAAUUGAAUUUUUAAAAAUCUCAUUUUAUUUUCUGUCUGCUUUUGGGAGAGAGAAGUGGUUAGGUUUUUAUUACAGGAAGGAUUUUUCUCUUUCUCUAUUAUAAUACCUGAAAGCAAAUAUAUAUAAGCUAUACAUGAAGUCAUUACAAUUCUUUUUUCUCAUUUUAUUUUCACUUUUGGGAAAGAUUGCUGCCAAUAUUUGUGAGAUCUCUUUUCAGUUCUAUCUUUUACUUCUGCAUGUCCGUUAUCUUAGCCAUGCAAUGUUUAGUUUGAGGCAGUUUCACCCAAGGGACAUACCUUAGAAUAGACUCUCAUGGCCAGUAAUGAAUGACUGAUGGAGGGAACAGCAGUUUAUAGGUUUUUUGUUGUUUUUAAGGAGAAAAAUUAACACCCUUCAUCAAACCUCCUCUUUCUUCCUUCUCUCCUCCCCUCCAUCUCACCCUGCCUCCCCUUGGGAUCUUACUCCUGUGAUUAGUUUGGGUUCCACACAAAGAAAGAUUUAUUACUUUAAUGUCUUUGUGAUUUAGUUUUAUGUGAUCUUCCUAGGGACACCAGGGAGUACACGCUCCCCUUUCUGAAUAUGUUGUAAGCUCCUUUGAGGCAAAAAUGAAUGUUCCUGUGUUACAAGAACAGAGCAGCCCUUAUCAUCUUCUCGAAUCUUAUCUUUCUGAGUUAAACAUUUGGCAUCAGUGACGAAGUAAGACCAGACAUUGAGGAUGAGACGUCAAAUCCAAGUUUGUAGAAAACACACAGUUGAUGCAUCUCACAUCUCUCAAAUUCUUCUCUGUGGACUCUAUGCUUACUGUUCCUGAAGAUGUUCACCAAAUGGGACCAAACCUCCAAAAAAGGAGAAUUUUAAUUUCUUCUUACCCUACUUAGAUGCUGGAUUGCAUAAUGUGGUUGUAAUCUUUAACUAUUUUUUUAAAAAAUAUUUGAGAUUAAAAAAUACUUAGAGGGGCAAUAGUUAGGGCAGGGGAGUGUUCAGUCCCUUUAUGAAGAUGUUUUUUGGCUGGGCUAGCACCUCGGCCUUGUGUUGAAGGAGUGAGAAGUAACUUGUACCACCGGCCACAGCUCUAGCUUGUGUUGGAAGUUUUGCAGAGUUGUUGAUCCUCUGCCAAGUAGACCAGUGAUUCCACCUAAAUGGAUAGAAUCUUCAACUCGGAGGCACCAGUCUCUCUCACUUGAGGAAAGAAUGCGAAGGAAGGAAUGGCCUGACUUCCUCAUGUGUGCCCUGUUUCUCGGUAGGCACCAUGUGGGGGCUGCCACACAUGUGCCGAAGCUUUGGGAACGUUCCGUUUAAAUACCAAUUUCGAUGCCAAUGCCUAACAUGGAGCACAAAUAUCCAGGUUUCCAACUUCAGCCGUUGGUUCCUCAGCCUUCUACGCCUUCCACUGGAACCCAAGGCUCUUUGGUCAAUGGGCAGCCCGAGUGUUUGGGCUGCUUAGCUUUCAGAGGGAUGUGCUGCUGAUGUCUGUCCUUUUUAAAGAGAGCUAGAGCUGAAACCUUACUGGGAACUGGAAGAUGGAAACACAGCGGUGAGCCUGGAGCAGGGCGACGCCAGCCUGGAGGCCCUCUCUUCCUGCCCACAACCUCACCUCCUCACAUCUACACUGCACACUUGCACCGGCCUUCUUUCUGCUUCUUGGGACCACAGACUGAGAAGGGACCCCCAGUCCUGCUAGCUCCUUGCUUGGUCUCAGGGUGAAGACGAGUCCCGAGUUUGAGUCCAGCCUCAAAUCUGCUGACCUUGGAUAAGUCACUUCUCACCGCUUGGGGCUUUGGUUUCCUGAAUAGAUUGAGUUAAAAUCUUUGUGGGUUUUUAACAUUAAAAAAAAAAGUGGAACUUGUUUUUCAAAUAAAAUGUUACACGAAAACUUAAUACUAAAAGCAGAAUAAGCUGGAUUUGCUCCCGUAUUCUGGGUGCCUCCAAGUAUCCCCUCCCCCUCUUAUCCAUCCUUGUGUACCCCCUGCCACCUAGCAGCCCCCUUCCCAGUUCAUCAGGGGCCAUUGGAGGGAAAGGCUUGGGAAGUACAACUCUACAGAGUUCACGCUAAGGAAGAACCUUGCAGGAAAUGCUUUUAAACGUAAACCAGCAACAUCUAGCUUCUCCUGUGUAGAGAGCUGCCCAGACCCCACCACCAACUGCUAAUUCUGAUUUUUCUCCGCUGGACAUUGGCUUUCUUAAUAAAUGUUUGGAUUUUUAAAAUCUACCAUUUUUGAAAAAAAUAAGCAUUUCCGCAUAGAAAUCAGACCUUGUCUGCGAGCCGGAGAUGUCCUCCGCGUAUUCCCGGUGACAACGAUGUGGCCUGUGAGCCUGCAUGGGGCUGAAUGGUUCUGUGAUUUCCUAGCACGGAACAGAACUAGUGAAUGCCGCUGUGUUUGGGGCUAGGAUGCUCAGAGGCCAUCCCCUCUCCUCCACAGAGGCUCGACUACUCGAAAUGCAUUGCUUCUGAGCCUAAUAUGUGUCACAAUUUCACCUUCAAAGGCCAAGCAUCCAGAAGCAGGAGAAUAAAGAUGUUUAGUAAGUGCAGCACAUCGAUUCCUCUUCAUCUGGAGCUGCUUAGGAGCCACCAAGAUUGUUACUCCUGCUCUCAUUAUGAAUGCAUUAGCAUUGAACUUAAUAGGAGGGUCCCCCAGAGAAAGUUAAGAAGCCUGCCUCAGAGGCCACUGCAGGGAGACGUGUGGGGCCCAUGCUCUGGGCAUCGCUGCAUAAAGGAGACUGCACCUGCUCUGACCCCUUCCCCAAGACGUUCAGUUGCUCAGUCAGAAAGUCAAGGAUGAAAAGUGUGUGUCUCUGGCUGGGUGUGGUGGCUCACACCUGUAAUCCCAGCACUUUGGGAGGCCAAAGAGGGUGGAUCACUUGAGGUCAGGAGUUCAAGACCAGCCUGUCCAACAUGGCAAAACCCCAUCUUUACUAAAAAUAUGAAAAUUAGCCAGGUGGUGUGGUG
Molecule: long non-coding RNA, 5403 nt
Filed under: Homo sapiens (human)
Lineage: Eukaryota; Metazoa; Chordata; Mammalia; Primates; Hominidae
Description: HSALNT0206835
Source: RNAcentral